Molecule: ribosomal RNA, 506 nt
Filed under: uncultured bacterium
Lineage: Bacteria
Description: partial 16S ribosomal RNA
Rfam family: Bacterial small subunit ribosomal RNA
Source: RNAcentral
AUUGAACGCUGGCGGCAGGCCUAACACAUGCAAGUCGAACGGUAGCACAGAGGAGCUUGCUCCUCGGGUGACGAGUGGCGGACGGGUGAGUAAUGUCUGGGGAUCUGCCCGAUAGAGGGGGAUAACCACUGGAAACGGUGGCUAAUACCGCAUAACGUCGCAAGACAAAAGAGGGGGACCUUCGGGCCUCUCACUAUCGGAUGAACCCAGAUGGGAUUAGCUAGUAGGCGGGGUAACGGCCCACCUAGGCGACGAUCCCUAGCUGGUCUGAGAGGAUGACCAGCCACACUGGAACUGAGACACGGUCCAGACUCCUACGGGAGGCAGCAGUGGGGAAUAUUGCACAAUGGGCGCAAGCCUGAUGCAGCCAUGCCGCGUGUAUGAAGAAGGCCUUCGGGUUGUAAAGUACUUUCAGCGGGGAGGAAGGCGAUGUGGUUAAUAACCGCAUUGAUUGACGUUACCCGCAGAAGAAGCACCGGCUAACUCCGUGCCAGCAGCCGCCGUAA